RNAcentral lists this ribosomal RNA (425 nucleotides) under uncultured bacterium. Its description in RNAcentral is "bacterial SSU rRNA". It matches the Rfam family "Bacterial small subunit ribosomal RNA", at positions 359 to 776 of the family's 1533-position model. The record is from RNAcentral.
GAAUAUUGGACAAUGGGCGCAAGCCUGAUCCAGCCAUGCCGCGUGUGUGAAGAAGGCCUUCGGGUUGUAAAGCACUUUUGUUGGGGAAGAAAAGAUCUGGGUUAAUAACCCGGGUUCAUGACGGUACCCAAAGAAUAAGCACCGGCUAACUUCGUGCCAGCAGCCGCGGUAAUACGAAGGGUGCAAGCGUUACUCGGAAUUACUGGGCGUAAAGCGUGCGUAGGCGGUUUGUUAAGUCUGCCGUGAAAGCCCCGGGCUCAACCUGGGAAUUGCGGUGGAUACUGGCAGGCUAGAGUGCGGUAGAGGGUGGUGGAAUUCCCGGUGUAGCAGUGAAAUGCGUAGAGAUCGGGAGAAACAUCUAUGGCGAAGGCAGCCACCUGGACCAGCACUGACGCUGAGGCACGAAAGCGUGGGGAGCAAACAGG